This 202-nucleotide long non-coding RNA is filed under the name Zostera marina. RNAcentral's name for it is "long non-coding RNA (ZMAR_LNC004202)". The record is from RNAcentral. Lineage: Eukaryota; Viridiplantae; Streptophyta; Magnoliopsida; Alismatales; Zosteraceae.
UCUAAGGAAAAAACGGUUGAAGGAAGAAAGGGGGCGAAAACGAGAGGUAAGCAGGGAAACGAAAGCGAAAGGAGAGGGCAGACGGAUCGACGGUCGAGCAAAAAGUGAGAGAAAACAAGUAAGUAAAAGAGCGGGAAAAAGUUAAGUAUUAUUACAAUGCAGGAAAAAGUCAAGUAUUGUUCCUCCCGUACGAAAAAAAACA